GUGCAGCAGGCGCGAAAACUCCACAAUGCGCGAAAGUGUGAACGGGCUACCCCGAGUGUCGUCCGCUGAGGAUGGCUUUUCUCUGCUGUAAGAAGGCAGAGGAAUAAGGAGAGGGCAAGUCUGGUGUCAGCCGCCGCGGUAAUACCAGCUCUCCGAGUGGUAGGGAUGAUUAUUGGGCUUAAAGCGUCCGUAGCUGGCCUUUCAAGUCUCUUGUUAAAUCCAGCGAUUCAAUCGUUGGACUGCGGGAGAUACUGUUAGGCUAGGGGGCGGGAGAAGCCGACGGUAUUUCCGGGGUAGGGGUAAAAUCCUAUAAUCCCGGGAAGACCACCAGUGGCGUAGGCGGUCGGCUAGCACGCGCUCGACAGUGAGGGGCGAAAGCUGGGGGAGAGAACCGGAUUAGAUACCCCGGUAGUCC
This 415-nucleotide ribosomal RNA is filed under the name uncultured crenarchaeote. RNAcentral's name for it is "partial 16S ribosomal RNA". It matches the Rfam family "Archaeal small subunit ribosomal RNA", at positions 330 to 747 of the family's 1478-position model. Lineage: Archaea; Thermoproteati; Thermoproteota. The record is from RNAcentral.